AGAGGAACACCAAAGGCGAAGGCAGAUAAUUAGGUAAUUCAUGACGCUGAUAGACGACAGCUAGGGGAGCGAAAGGGAUUAGAGACCCCUGUAGUCCUAGCCGUAAACGAUGGACACUAGCUGAUCGGAAUUUUCUGGUCGGCGUAAGCUAACGCGUUAAGUGUCCCGCCUGGGAAGUACGGCCGCAAGGCUAAAACUCAAAGGAAUUGACGGGGGAGCGCACAACCGGUGGAGCAUGUGGUUUAAUUCGAUACAAAGCGAAAUACCUCACCCUAGUUUAAUAUAACUGCAAAUCCAGUGAAAGCUGGAUGUCUUCGAGAGUGUUAUACAGCUGUUGCAUGGCUGUCGUCAGUUCGUGUCGUGAGACGUUUCUUUAAGUAGAAUAACGAACGCAACCCCUAUCGUGUGUUGAAUUUUCACGCGAGACUGCUCUUGAUAGUAUCAAGGGAGGAAGGAGGGGACGAUGUCAAGUCAGCAUGACGCUUACACCUGGGGCCACACACAUCCUACAAUGGGAAGUACAAUGGGUUGCCAACCAGUAAUGGGGAGCCAAUCCCGUAAAACUUCCCUCAGUUCAGAUUGAGGGCUGCAACUCGCCCUCAUGAAGUCGGAAUCGGUAGUAAUCGCAGAUCAGCAGGCUGCGGUGAAUACGUUCUCGCUCCUUGUACACACCGCCCGUCAAGUGAGCAAAGUUGGCAGUACCUGAAGUUGGUGUCUUUAACCUAGCAAUAGGGUGAGCCCACCUAAGGUAAGGUCAGCGAUGAGCGCUAAGUCGUAACAAGGUAUCCGUUCUGGAAGGAGCGGAUG
This 807-nucleotide ribosomal RNA is filed under the name groundwater metagenome. Its description in RNAcentral is "bacterial SSU rRNA". It matches the Rfam family "Bacterial small subunit ribosomal RNA", at positions 700 to 1520 of the family's 1533-position model. The record is from RNAcentral.